GCUUAUUUCCAGUGGAGUUCACUUUUGUCUUUCUUGGAUACUACUCUCCAGACCCUCUAAUUGCAUAUGCUGCUUUCUACGCCCCCAAGCCCGCUCCAACACAACCAAUUCAUAGUCUAGGCAUAGAAAUUAGUAGCUGACCUGCAGCGCACGAGUUUUACCCAUAAAAUGUGCGAUGGUUGGGGUUUGGCGACUGAUGGAAAAGUUCUUUUUGGCAGUGAUGGCACUUCAAUGCUGUAUAAGCUGGAUCCAAAGUCACUUGAAGUCAUGAAAGUGGUGACUGUCAAGUAUCACGGUGAUGAAGUCCCCUACCUUAAUGAGCUGGAGUAUAUAGAUGGUGAAGUCUGGGCAAAUGUCGGGCAGGUUAGAUGUAGUUCCUCCUAGCUAACAUAUCUUAUCAUGAAGUAUCUUAGUGAAACUAUGUACUGCAUUUCGCAAGGACCACUAUAUCUUCCAUUAGUAUCUUAGUGGCGACUCCAGGAUGUUAGACAAAGUACGAAUGAGGUUUAAAGGCUUCUCCGAUUAUUAUUUCUAGGUCUGUACCUCAACUUUCCUCAAAGUGACCAAGUUUCACUGAGUGAUGCUCUUCAUUUGGCCUAUUGAUGCCAAAUAGGUUGCUGGGUCCUUACUACAAUGCACUCACACUGUUUUUUUUUUCACGAUAAUUAGCCAUCUUAUGGGAGUUCCUCUACCCAAUUUUCUCUCCACUUAAUGCUAAGUGAUUUUCUGUAUUUCUAUGUAAUUUUGUUGUACCCUACUAAUAUAUGAUUUAUCAAUGUACGCAGAGAUAGAUACCUUGUAAUUUUCUAUAAUGUCUGACCUAGGCAUCUGAAUUUUGAAAGCUAUGAUACGCAGACAGAUUGCAUAGCUAGAGUGUCCCCUAAAAUGGCCUAGUGGUGGGCUGGAUCUUUCUUCAUGAGCUGAGGCGGCAAUUGUGGAACUCAGGCAAUACGGGUUGUGGACGCCCGUGUAUGGCUGCUAGGCGGCCAGGGAUGCCGCCGCUGCUGGCCGAGGACUGGCCAGGGCUAGAGCCGGCUACUCUUUGGAAACGAAGGCAGGAAACGCAAGAUCGCAGAGCUGACGCGGUGGUCCUCGACGGCUUCAAGGACGGGCGAGCAACGAGGGCGACGAGCAAUGUCCUGGCAACGCAGGAUCACUGAGGGGGUUUGAUGUGCAAGUACCUGGCAACGUAGGAUCGCGCAGGGCUGAUGGGCGAGGUCGUGUGAGGUGCGACGUGCGAGGUGCGAGUACCUGGCAACGCAGGAUCGCGCAGGGCUGAUGUCGUGGUCCUCGACGGCUUCAAGGACAGGCGAGCGAGGGCGAGGAAGGAUGGUCGACGGUGAGGUCGGGCGAGGGCGACGGUGAGGUCGGGCGAGGGCGACGGUGAGGUCGGUCGAGGGCGUGUUCAGGGAACUGGCAACGCAGGAUCGGAAAGGAUGUUUUGUUUCCUUUACGAGGGACCGAAAUUUUAGCUACGGAUAGAAAGAGAUGCAAAUUUUAUAUUAGGAAUCAUGUAUUUUUCCAUAUUUCAUUUCGCACCCUUCCACAUCCUGUUUAUAUAUUAUUCUCUAUUGUAAA
Sorghum bicolor (sorghum) is the source of this 1578-nucleotide RNA transcript. It is a transcript of the gene named glutaminyl-peptide cyclotransferase, with no coding region annotated. The record is from RefSeq and is a predicted model, not a curated record. The transcript is spliced from 6 exons. Lineage: Eukaryota; Viridiplantae; Streptophyta; Magnoliopsida; Poales; Poaceae.